This 413-nucleotide ribosomal RNA is filed under the name uncultured Rhizophagus. RNAcentral describes it as "partial 28S ribosomal RNA". The record is from RNAcentral. Lineage: Eukaryota; Fungi; Glomeromycota; Glomeromycetes; Glomerales; Glomeraceae.
GAGAGUUAAACAGUACGUGAAAUUGUUGAAAGGGAAACGAUUGAAGCCAGUCGUACCUUCGGGUAAUCAGCCUUUCGGGUGCGAUUCUGUGGAGUGUGAGGAGCUUAAACACCUUCAUGUUUUGCAUAUUCGUACUCUUGGGUGUACUUGCCCGUGUGGUUGGUUAACAUCAAUUUUGGUGGUCAUAAAAUGACUGGGGGAAUGUAGCUUCGAUCUUGUAUUGAAGUGUUAUAGCCUUCGGUAGAUGUGAUGAUCGAGAUUGAGGAUUGCAACGGAUACCCUUCGGGGCUACCUGUCUGGUCUCUGAUCGUUGCUCUGGUGCCGAAAGCUUGCUUACGGUUAUCAAAGUCGAUGGUCAAUAGGUUAGAACGGGUUAAAUUCGUUAAGGAUGUUGACGUAAUGGCUUUAAAUGA